This 455-nucleotide ribosomal RNA is filed under the name uncultured Rhodoferax sp. RNAcentral's name for it is "bacterial SSU rRNA". It matches the Rfam family "Bacterial small subunit ribosomal RNA", at positions 925 to 1382 of the family's 1533-position model. The record is from RNAcentral. Lineage: Bacteria; Pseudomonadati; Pseudomonadota; Betaproteobacteria; Burkholderiales; Comamonadaceae.
ACAAGCGGUGGAUGAUGUGGAUAAUUCGAUGCAACGCGAAAACCUUACCCACCUUUGACAUGUACGGAACCCUUUAGAGAUAGAGGGGUGCUCGAAAGAGAGCCGUAACACAGGUGCUGCAUGGCUGUCGUCAGCUCGUGUCGUGAGAUGUUGGGUUAAGUCCCGCAACGAGCGCAACCCUUGUCAUUAGUUGCUACAUUCAGUUGGGCACUCUAAUGAGACUGCCGGUGACAAGCCGGAGGAAGGUGGGGAUGACGUCAAGUCCUCAUGGCCCUUAUAGGUGGGGCUACACACGUCAUACAAUGGCUGGUACAAAGGGUUGCCAACCCGCGAGGGGGAGCCAAUCCCAUAAAGCCAGUCGUAGUCCGGAUCGUAGUCUGCAACUCGACUACGUGAAGUCGGAAUCGCUAGUAAUCGUGGAUCAGAAUGUCACGGUGAAUACGUUCCCGGGUCUU